This 504-nucleotide ribosomal RNA is filed under the name Rhodotorula mucilaginosa. Its description in RNAcentral is "eukaryotic LSU rRNA". It matches the Rfam family "Eukaryotic large subunit ribosomal RNA", at positions 117 to 622 of the family's 3401-position model. Lineage: Eukaryota; Fungi; Basidiomycota; Microbotryomycetes; Sporidiobolales; Sporidiobolaceae. The record is from RNAcentral.
AAAAUCUGGCACCUUCGGUGUCCGAGUUGUAAUCUCUAGAAAUGUUUUCCGCGUUGGACCGCACACAAGUCUGUUGGAAUACAGCGGCAUAGUGGUGAGACCCCCGUAUAUGGUGCGGACGCCCAGCGCUUUGUGAUACAUUUUCGAAGAGUCGAGUUGUUGGGGAAUGCAGCUCAAAUUGGGUGGUAAAUUCCAUCUAAAGCUAAAUAUUGGCGAGAGACCGAUAGCGAACAGUACCGUGAGGGAAAGAUGAAAAGCACUUUUGGAAAGAGAGUUAAACAGUACGUGAAAUUGGUUGGGAAAGGGGAAACGCUUGAAAGUCAGACUUGCUUGGCCGAAGCCAAAUCGGGUUUGCAGUGGCCAGCAUCANGUUUAUACGGGGGUGGAAUAAUGGUAAGACGAGAAGGGUACAGCCAGGUAUCCGGGCCUGGUUGUUAUAAGCCUCCUUCCUAACCUUGGCAAUAACAACCCCCUGGGGGGACUCUGGAAGGGAAACCCGCCAAG